RNAcentral lists this unclassified non-coding RNA (158 nucleotides) under uncultured Phoma. RNAcentral's name for it is "sequence contains ITS2". The record is from RNAcentral. Lineage: Eukaryota; Fungi; Ascomycota.
GUACCUUCAAGCUUUGCUUGGUGUUGGGUGUUUGUCUCGCCUCUGCGCGCAGACUCGCCUCAAAACGAUUGGCAGCCGGCGUAUUGAUUUCGGAGCGCAGUACAUCUCGCGCUUUGCACUCACAACGACGACGUCCAAAAAGUACAUUUUUUACACUC